ACGGGUGAGUAACACGUAUCCAACCUGCCGUCUACUCUUGGACAGCCUUCUGAAAGGGAAGAAUUAAUACAAGAUGGCAUCAUGAGUCCGCAUGUUCACAUGAUUAAAGGUAUUCCGGUAGACGAUGGGGAUGCGUUCCAUUAGAUAGUAGGCGGGGUAACGGCCCACCUAGUCUUCGAUGGAUAGGGGUUCUGAGAGGAAGGUCCCCCACAUUGGAACUGAGACACGGUCCAA
This 234-nucleotide ribosomal RNA is filed under the name uncultured bacterium. RNAcentral's name for it is "partial 16S ribosomal RNA". It matches the Rfam family "Bacterial small subunit ribosomal RNA", at positions 102 to 334 of the family's 1533-position model. The record is from RNAcentral.